AGCAACUCAAUCAUCUCUCACCUCUCCUUUUUCACAUAUUAAUCGGGAAAUUGUCUAUGUCGCUUUUUUUUUGUCCAUCAGCGACCUUGUUUCGUCGGAGUCACUCUCUUUCCAACCAGCCAACCCUCAUUGUAUCUUCUACUUAGUUAUGGUAAUUGUCAAUUAUCAAAGGAAAGGGAGUAAUCUGAAUUUUGCUCAAAUUAGUAAUCGAAGAAGUUCCUGGGAAAAAAUCGGAUGAGGUAAAAAUCAAAUUUAUUUUUCUUCAAUGGUGUUGAAGCUAGCUUCUUUGUAUCUCCAUCAAUGUUCUGCUCCAGAAAAACAGAAUGCUAGUUCUGUGAGAAGGUUGAUGAUAAAUUUGAGAUCAGUUUGCAACAAGGAUGAAUAUGAAUUGUCGAAAAUGGUGAAUCAUUCCAAGCUCGGUAAGAUCCCAUUGAUAAGGAGGAGCCGCGUUGCUUCUUCUUCCUAUUUUUAUCUCGUUUGCUCUUCUUGGAGGUUGCAAACCAUAGAUUAGCAAUGGAGAGAAAAAACUUUCUAAAUUUAAAUGGAGGAUAUUGUUUUUAGAUUAGGGUCAAGUAUGUAAUCAUCCAAUACUACAUUUCAAGCAAAAAAAAUUUAUAUUCA
Molecule: long non-coding RNA, 621 nt
Filed under: Linum usitatissimum (flax)
Lineage: Eukaryota; Viridiplantae; Streptophyta; Magnoliopsida; Malpighiales; Linaceae
Description: long non-coding RNA (LUSI_LNC004745)
Source: RNAcentral